CAAAAGCUUGGUCCUGACUUUACUAACAACUCUGAUCAAACUUACACAUGCAAGUAUCCGCAGCCCAGUGAAAAUGCCCCCCGCCCCCCGCCCGGGAAUCGGGAGUUGGUAUCAGGCACACACAUUUGUAGCCCACGACACCUAGCUUUGCCACACCCUCAAGGGAAUUCAGCAGUGAUAAACAUUAAGCCAUAAGUGAAAACUUGACUUAGUCAUGAUCUAAAGAGUCGGUAAAACUCGUGCCAGCCACCGCGGUUAUACGAGAGACCCAGGUUGUUAGCCAACGGCGUAAAGGGUGGUUAGAAGCACAAGCAAUAAACUGAGGCCGAACGCCUUCAAGGCUGUCAUACGCUUCCGAAGCAACGAAGAACAAUAACGAAAGUAGCCUCACUAACUUGAACCCACGAAAGCUAGGACACAAACUGGGAUUAGAUACCCCACUAUGCCUACCCCUAAACAUGAUAUAGAAUUACAUUUAUAUCCGCCUGGUUACUACGAGCAUUAGCUUAAAACCCAAAGGACUUGGCGGUGCUUUAAAACCAUCUAGAGGAGCCUGUUUUAAAACCGAUACUCCCCGUUCAACCUCACCCCUCCUUGUUUUAACCGCCUAUAUACCACCGUCGUCAGCCUACCCUGUGAAGGGCAAAUAGUAGACAAAAUUGGCACAGCCAAAAACGUCAGGUCGAGGUGUAGCGUAUGGAGGGGGACAAAAUGGGCUACAUUCUCUACCUAGAGAACACGAAAGAUGUGCUGAAACGCACACCCGAAGGAGGAUUUAGCAGUAAGCAAGAAAAAAGAGUGUCAUGCUGAAACCGGCUAUGAAGCGCGCACACACCGCCCGUCACUCUCCCCAAACUCUUAGCCUAUCAAUAACUAAUAAACUACCUAAAGAAAAGGGGAGGCAAGUCGUAACAUGGUAAGUGUACCGGAAGGUGCACUUGGAAUAAU
RNAcentral lists this non-coding RNA (948 nucleotides) under Tylerius spinosissimus (spiny blaasop). Its description in RNAcentral is "12S rRNA". It matches the Rfam family "Bacterial small subunit ribosomal RNA". Lineage: Eukaryota; Metazoa; Chordata; Actinopteri; Tetraodontiformes; Tetraodontidae. The record is from RNAcentral.